This 253-nucleotide ribosomal RNA is filed under the name uncultured bacterium. RNAcentral describes it as "partial 16S ribosomal RNA". It matches the Rfam family "Bacterial small subunit ribosomal RNA", at positions 524 to 776 of the family's 1533-position model. The record is from RNAcentral.
UACGUAGGGUCCGAGCGUUGUCCGGAAUUACUGGGCGUAAAGAGCUCGUAGGUGGUUUGUCGCGUUGUUCGUGAAAACUCACAGCUCAACUGUGGGCGUGCGGGCGAUACGGGCAGACUGGAGUACUGCAGGGGAGACUGGAAUUCCUGGUGUAGCGGUGGAAUGCGCAGAUAUCAGGAGGAACACCUAUAGCGAAGGCAGCUUGCUGGGACGUUACUGACGCUAAGGCGCGAAAGCGUGGGGAGCGAACAGG